This 491-nucleotide ribosomal RNA is filed under the name uncultured bacterium. RNAcentral's name for it is "bacterial SSU rRNA". It matches the Rfam family "Bacterial small subunit ribosomal RNA", at positions 28 to 527 of the family's 1533-position model. The record is from RNAcentral.
GACGAACGCUGGCGGCGUGCCUAAUACAUGCAAGUCGAGCGGGCUUAUUCGAGUAGCUUGCUAUUUGGAUAAGUCAGCGGCGGACGGGUGAGUAACACGUGGGUAAUCUGCCUCGUAGUCUGGGAUAACAAGCCGAAAGGUUUGCUAAUACCGGAUGAGUUCAUGUAUUGCAUAGUGACAUGAAGAAAGGGAGACCCGCUAUGAGAUGAGCCCGCGUCCCAUUAGCUAGUUGGUGGGGUAAAGGCCUACCAAGGCGACGAUGGGUAGCCGGCCUGAGAGGGUGGACGGCCACACUGGGACUGAGACACGGCCCAGACUCCUACGGGAGGCAGCAGUGGGGAAUCUUGCGCAAUGGGGGCAACCCUGACGCAGCCAUGCCGCGUGAAUGAUGAAGGCCUUAGGGUUGUAAAGUUCUUUUGCCCGUGACGAUGAUGACGGUAACGGAGAAUAAGCUCCGGCUAACUUCGUGCCAGCAGCCGCGGUAAGUCACG